GCAUAUCAAUAAGCGGAGGAAAAGAAACCAACAGGGAUUGCCCCAGUAACGGCGAGUGAAGCGGCAAGAGCUCAAAUUUGAAAGCUGGCCCCCUCGGGGUCCGCAUUGUAAUUUGCAGAGGAUGCUUCGGGAGUGGCCCCCAUCUAAGUGCUCUGGAACGGGCCGUCAUAGAGGGUGAGAAUCCCGUAUGGGAUGGGGUGUCCGCGACCAUGUGAAGCUCCUUCAACGAGUCGAGUUGUUUGGGAAUGCAGCUCUAAAUGGGUGGUAAAUUUCAUCUAAAGCUAAAUAUUGGCCGGAGACCGAUAGCGCACAAGUAGAGUGAUCGAAAGAUGAAAAGCACUUUGAAAAGAGAGUUAAAAAGCACGUGAAAUUGUUGAAAGGGAAGCGCUUGCGACCAGACUCGCCUGCGGGGUUCAGCCGGUAUUCGUACCGGUGUACUUCCCCGUGGGCGGGCCAGCGUCGGUUUGGGCGGCCGGUCAAAGGCCCUCGGAAUGUAACGCCUCUCGGGGCGUCUUAUAGCCGAGGGUGCCAUGCGGCCAGCCCGGACCGAGGAACGCGCUUCGGCACGGACGCUGGCAUAAUGGUCGUAAGCGACCCGUCUUGAAACACGGACCAAGGAGUCUAACAUCUACGCGAGUGUUCGGGUGUCAAACCCGUGCGCGCAGUGAAAGCGAACGGAGGUGGGAACCCUCGCGGGUGCACCAUCGACCGAUCCUGAUGUCUUCGGAUGGAUUUGAGUAAGAGCGUAGCUGUUGGGACCCGAAAGAUGGUGAACUAUGCCUGAAUAGGGCGAAGCCAGAGGAAACUCUGGUGGAGGCUCGCAGCGGUUCUGACGUGCAAAUCGAUCGUCAAAUUUGGGUAUAGGGGCGAAAGACUAAUCGAACCAUCUAGUAGCUGGUUCCUG
Molecule: ribosomal RNA, 904 nt
Filed under: Penicillium adametzii
Lineage: Eukaryota; Fungi; Ascomycota; Eurotiomycetes; Eurotiales; Aspergillaceae
Description: LSU rRNA
Rfam family: Eukaryotic large subunit ribosomal RNA
Source: RNAcentral